AUACGGAGGGUGCAAGCGUUAAUCGGAAUUACUGGGCGUAAAGCGCGCGUAGGCGGUUUAGUAAGUCGGAUGUGAAAGCCCCGGGCUCAACCUGGGAAUUGCAUUCGAUACUGCUUGACUAGAGUAUGGUAGAGGGAAGUGGAAUUUCCGGUGUAGCGGUGAAAUGCGUAGAUAUCGGAAGGAACACCAGUGGCGAAGGCGACUUCCUGGGCCAAUACUGACGCUGAGGUGCGAAAGCGUGGGGAGCAAACAGGAUUAGAUACCCCAGUAGUCC
Molecule: ribosomal RNA, 274 nt
Filed under: uncultured bacterium
Lineage: Bacteria
Description: partial 16S ribosomal RNA
Rfam family: Bacterial small subunit ribosomal RNA
Source: RNAcentral